This 184-nucleotide non-coding RNA is filed under the name human gut metagenome. The record is from RNAcentral.
GGUUUGUGGAUGCAGACUCAGGGUAAAAGGGAAGCAGGUGGAAGACCUGCGCGAUCUCGUCACUGUAAGCAGGGAGCACUGGAUUAUGCGCAUGCCUGAGGGGCAUGGCAGCCACUGGUUUUUGGAGACCGGGAAGGCAAUCUUAUGUGUGGGGAGCUGCGAGCCAGGAAACCUGCCGGUUGUU